UACAGGGGGUGCAAACGUUGCUCGGAAUCAUUGGGCGUAAAGCGCACGUAGGCGGUUCGUUAUGUCGGAUGUGAAAGCCCUUGGCUUAACCGAGGAAGUGCAUCCGAAACUGGCGAGCUAGAGUACUAAAGAGGAUCGCGGAAUUCCCGGUGUAGAGGUGAAAUUCGUAGAUAUCGGGAGGAACACCGGUGGCGAAGGCGGGUCUCUGGGCCGUAACUGACGCUGAGGAGCGAAAGCGUGGGGAGCGAACAGG
RNAcentral lists this ribosomal RNA (253 nucleotides) under uncultured bacterium. RNAcentral's name for it is "partial 16S ribosomal RNA". It matches the Rfam family "Bacterial small subunit ribosomal RNA", at positions 524 to 776 of the family's 1533-position model. The record is from RNAcentral.